UACAUGUGGGGCAAGCGUUGUUCGGAAUUACUGGGCAUAAAGGGUGCGUAGGCGGCUUGUUAAGUCACUGGUGAAAGUUUUCGGCCUAACCGGAAAAUGGCCUGUGAUACUGGCGAGCUUGAGUGCGUGAGGGGUUGGGGGAACGUGCAGUGUAGCGGUGAAAUGCGUAGAUAUGACAUAGAACACCAAUUGCGAAGGCAGCUCACUACACGAAUAUUGACACUGAGGCACGAAAGCGUGGGGAUCAAACAGG
This 253-nucleotide ribosomal RNA is filed under the name uncultured bacterium. Its description in RNAcentral is "partial 16S ribosomal RNA". It matches the Rfam family "Bacterial small subunit ribosomal RNA", at positions 524 to 776 of the family's 1533-position model. The record is from RNAcentral.